Molecule: ribosomal RNA, 439 nt
Filed under: uncultured Planomicrobium sp.
Lineage: Bacteria; Bacillati; Bacillota; Bacilli; Caryophanales; Caryophanaceae
Description: bacterial SSU rRNA
Rfam family: Bacterial small subunit ribosomal RNA
Source: RNAcentral
GGAAUCUUCCGCAAUGGACGCAAGUCUGACGGAGCAAUGCCGCGUGAGUGACGAAGGUUUUCGGAUCGUAAAACUCUGUUGUGAGGGAAGAACACGUACCAGCUAACUACUGGUACCUUGACGGUACCUCACCAGAAAGCCACGGCUAACUACGUGCCAGCAGCCGCGGUAAUACGUAGGUGGCAAGCGUUGUCCGGAAUUAUUGGGCGUAAAGCGCGCGCAGGCGGUCCCUUAAGUCUGAUGUGAAAGCCCACGGCUCAACCGUGGAGGGUCAUUGGAAACUGGGGGACUUGAGUGCAGAAGAGGAAAGUGGAAUUCCAUGUGUAGCGGUGAAAUGCGUAGAGAUGUGGAGGAACACCAGUGGCGAAGGCGACUUUCUGGUCUGUAACUGACGCUGAGGCGCGAAAGCGUGGGGAGCAAACAGGAUUAGAUACCCGGG